CAGGGGGCUCUGCGGGGCGGUGACCACACGGCAGCAGGCCAGUGGGUCCUGUCCCUGUAGGACGCCGUCUCCUGCCGUUAUUUAUGUCGCUACAAACUCCAGGAAGUCCUGGCUGAUGUCCAGCCCCGUCCUGUGAGCAUGAGCCCACGAGGUGGCGGAUCUAGAUCUCCUUACAGGAAAGAGACCAGAGCCCACGGCCGGGGAGCUGGGGACAGACCGACGGCCGUGCAGAGGCUGCCAUAUGCUUAACGUGCUCCAAUUACACAGGACGCUCCAGAAAUCACCGCUCUGGGGUGAGCGAGGGCAGUGGCCAUCACCACAUGUGGACAGCCCUGUCCAGGGUGAGGGUCUUCGCAACUGCUGAGCGGCUCCCGAGAGGGCGGCCUAGGCUCACAGGGGCCGGUGCACCGCUCAUGGGUCGGUGUUUGCCGGACACCCAGCACCAAGCUGGCUCCAGGCGGGAAAGAAACGAAAACAGGCUCCCAGGACCUUCCAGUCCAGUGGGGACAUGCACGCACAUGGCAGCGGGGCUUCUUCUUGGACCCCUCGUCUCUGUCCCCUCCUGUCCUCUUGGUUUCGUGGACAGAUAAAGCCCACAGGAAUAACCCUGCACCUCUGCACCCACAAGGAAGAGCCGGGUCUCUCCACCU
Molecule: long non-coding RNA, 650 nt
Filed under: Ictidomys tridecemlineatus (thirteen-lined ground squirrel)
Lineage: Eukaryota; Metazoa; Chordata; Mammalia; Rodentia; Sciuridae
Description: lncRNA (ENSSTOG00000032852.1)
Source: RNAcentral